Long non-coding RNA from Heterocephalus glaber (naked mole-rat), 424 nucleotides. RefSeq lists it as uncharacterized. Lineage: Eukaryota; Metazoa; Chordata; Mammalia; Rodentia; Bathyergidae. The record is from RefSeq and is a predicted model, not a curated record.
UUGAGGGUAGUUGACAGUGGGGGGCUGGGGUGGGUGGAAAUAGAUUAUUCAAAUCACAAAGAAGUAGGUGUGCCCUAAGUGACUGUUCCAUUACGGCGAGGAAGAAAUGUUUGCCUUCCUAAGCAUUCAUCCAACUCGCUGCUGCCGAUUGUGUGGGGCCGGAGGAGAGUGCCUGCUCACGAUCGGAAAGCAGCUCCUCUCCGUGUCCUGUGCUGGUGACUUCAGAGAGUGCAUUGUCGUGUAUGGACACCACACCGACCACUCUGUAACCCUCACCCUUCGCCCAGGCCCCUCCCUGCCUGCUCUGGCUGUGCACAGCUACCCCAGAUCCUCGCCCUGCUGUUUGUGGCCCCCACACUUUGAUUUCCCCUCGUGUCUUCACUUUCCACACUUGUACAUCCCGAAAGUUUCCAAGUCCUAUGGA